This is a long non-coding RNA of Lemur catta (Ring-tailed lemur), 1155 nucleotides long. RefSeq lists it as uncharacterized. NCBI's taxonomy places the organism in Eukaryota, Metazoa, Chordata, Mammalia, Primates, Lemuridae. The record is from RefSeq and is a predicted model, not a curated record. The transcript is spliced from 5 exons.
GCUGCCGGGUAGGCGCUGGGGGAGCGCGAGGGGCCGAGCAUCCCUCUCGCCCCGCCGUGACCCCCCGCCGCCUCCAGGGCCCCACGCGGUAUUCCAGGUGGUGAGAGCACGUGCACCAAUAACUGAGAAGGCAGGAUGGGCUCCUUUUCAUGCUGUGAACACACAAUGAAGCAAGGAUAAGGAGAGUUGCACCGCGAGCGUGGGAGUGAAAUUUCUUUGAAAUGCUGGUGUCAAGAAAAAGGAAAAGCAGCUGAAAAGCAUACUUGAUUUCAUCUUUGUAUUUCCAGAGCUAGCAGUGCUUAGAACACAGCAGGUACCCGUCAAAACAACCAAGGGGUCUCCUCCUUAACUUCACCCAGGUACCUUCCUAAGAGUAUUCUUGCCACUCUCGGAGCCCUGCGGGACACAGCAGGGCACAGUUCCGGCGGCCCAGACUCCAACGCCUCCUAGGGCGCAUGCGCCGGAGCCGCCGCCGGGACACGGACACCGGCGUCGGGGCCGCGCCCCUCCCCCGCCCCGGCCGGAGUUGAGCAGCGGUAAUAUGGACCAGCACAGGGACGUGGUGACAGGUCUUUCCACACCACCCUCUGCCUUACCUGAGCUCUCGGUGAUGCCUCAACAGUGAGGGAACAGCAGCUCCAAAAGAACGGUCCACUCUGGCUUCAACCUUGCAAUAGCUGCCAGCGGCUGCGAACCGGCCGUCACUUCCGCCUUCUCAUUGGCUGCGGAUCUCACGCGAUACCACUUUCGACACCCGAGCAAGGGGCGGUCGGGUGUGCGGCGAGCGCUUCUGCGCGUGCGCCUUUCCCCGGCAACCCGGAACCCGGGGCUUCGCCUACCCGCGGGUAAACUUCGGGGUUGGAAGGCCGCUAAAUAUACUGGAAGUUGUAGUUUGUUAGUGCGCAGGCUGCAGUUGUCGGGCUUUCUUAGGCACUGUGCCCCAGUGCUCAUAACAUUAAAUUGUAAAUGACAUAGCUACGAUCCUUGCUCAGGAGUGACGCUCAAACUUCGUUUCCAUCCUCAAACUGUUGAUUGAACAUUUUCCUUUUUUCUAAAGUUGUGCCCAAACUUAUACAACACAGUGGAUUUUUGGGUGGUUAAAACCUGUAUCACCUCCUAGAUCCAGAUAAAGAACAUUUUCACCACCCCAGUAUG